Chiloscyllium plagiosum (whitespotted bambooshark) is the source of this 1971-nucleotide non-coding RNA. Lineage: Eukaryota; Metazoa; Chordata; Chondrichthyes; Orectolobiformes; Hemiscylliidae. The record is from RefSeq and is a predicted model, not a curated record.
CAACAAAAACUUCCAGCUCGGCGAACAGAACCACAGCAUCUUUCUGACUCUAAUAUAACCCUUUUGAAAUUCCAUAUUAAUAAAGCAACAUAUAAUACAUUAAUUUGAAAGUCUUUUAAACCACUUGUAUGUGCUUGCUGGUUUCAGCCAAAUUGUUCAUUUUCCCUGAUGACGGAACACUUAGUGAACUCUUCCCCCAGACCAAACAUUGCAUAGAAAGCACUGGAGGAACUCAAUGUCUGUCUGGCAGUAUCUCUGGAUAGAGAGACUGUUACAUUUUGAAGCUAAUGUGACCUUUCUUCAAAAAACUGGUGUUACUGAGUCUUCUGUGAUUAGAGAAAAUGGAAAACUUGGCUGAAAUCUACUUGAGCUGAAAAUAUGUUGCUGGAAAAGCGCAGCAGGUCAGGCAGCAUCCAAGGAGCAGGAGAAUCGACGUUUCGGGCGUGAGCCCUUCUUCAGGAAUGAAAUCUACUUGAGUAUGUUUAAUAUUAUGAUGAAGAGAUUUAAAAUGCUUCCAAAUCUACAUACAUCUGUUGCUCUAUAAAAACAAAAUUUCAAUGGUAAACUGAAUAGUACUGUUGUUUUUUUGUGGUUUUUUGCUGAUGUUUGGAUUCAGAUUAACAUUAAUGAGUUAAAAUGGGUCAUAUUAGAAAACUGUUUAAGAAACAUCCUUUCCAUUGUGGGCUUUCAUUCGGUGUUUCUACCACCUGUUGGAUUACAUUUACUCUUAAAUUAUGUUUUGCUUCCAGGGGCAAACAUGUGAGGUCUGUGGAGCCAAAAUUCAUUUUCCCUGUGCUGCAAAAUACUUCCGAGGUCGGAAUGACCCUUGCUGUCCAAACUGUAGGAGGUUCUGGCCUCAUGAAAUCCCAGAUGUCAGCAGGUCUGAACAAUCCAUGCCACCUCCAUCCUCCACGCCAAAAAUGCGUCGCUGAUAUCAGGAAUGAGACACUAAGAGACUUAAAGAAGCAAAGUGAAAUGUCAUGUCUGUGGGAAGUGUGGGAUGGGAGUUCUAAGACGAUUGUGUUAUGAGAUGAAGUAUACUUUGUAAACUGGUGUAAAAGAUUACACUACUGGUAUUUUCAAACUUGUACUUAUUGCUGCACAGCCACCAAUUUAGACCACUGUAGCGCUUGCAUAGAGAGUAUACUCUAAACCUCAGCUUGAGAUUAAAAUCACCAUUGUGGUCCAUCUUAGAGUGAUCAGUUCAGUAGAAUAUUAAGUUGAAAUCAUGUUUCCAUCAAGGAUACUAUGCAAUGGAAAAAGGAAUAAUUAUUUGUAUAAAAUUAAUUACAUUUAAACCAGUGUUUUAACCUCAUACUUCCUCAUCCUACUGCGAUGAUACUUUGAGCAACCCAAAGUGCUAAUACUGAUAAAUAUGAGAACAAUUCUAAUUAACUUGCAAACUGGAAUUUGGGUUACUUAGAACUAAAGCUUACAAAGACAGAAGUGUGAUCAAGAUGCAGUGAUCUUGAUCAAUGUUUAAGGUGCUUAAGAUGUUAAACAGAAUAAGGAUGGGGAAAAGAGGUGGGAGAUUUCAGGUAAUAAACUCAACAUUUCCCUUGCUGCUUUUGAAUUUAAGAACCAGAAUGGUUAAGGGAAGUAUAGUAAGGAAACAAAGGGAUUAGGGUUUCAUAAGUUUUUGUGAUUUGGAACUAUGAUCCAGCAAUACUAAUGUUGGAGAUAAAAUCCUGUAACUUGCUUUCUUCACAGUACUGUGGGUAUGCUUAGCAGUUCAUGAAGGAAGCUUAUGUCCAAGGGUAACUAGGUUUGGGUAAUAAAUACGGCCUUGUCAGUGAUGCUCUCAUCCCAUGAAUUUAAAAAAAAAGUGGGCACCUAUAUUGAUUUGACAGACAAAAAGACAAAAUAAUAUUAAACCAACAAUUUGCAACUUUCUUCAUAGAAGACAAAUUUUAGGCAAAAUAAAUGUCUAGUCAGAAUGAGAACAUAAAAAGUAAGCAUAUUAGAAAACAA